Small nuclear RNA from Hippopotamus amphibius kiboko, 141 nucleotides. RefSeq annotates it as U4 spliceosomal RNA. NCBI's taxonomy places the organism in Eukaryota, Metazoa, Chordata, Mammalia, Artiodactyla, Hippopotamidae. The record is from RefSeq and is a predicted model, not a curated record. The transcript has a single exon.
GGCUUUGCACAGCAGCAGUAUUGUAGCCAAUGAGGUUUAUCCAAGGUGCAAUUACUGCCAAUUGAAAACUCUUUCCAGUAUCCCACCAUGAUUACUUGAAAUAGAGUUGGCAUUGGCAAUUUUUGACAGUCUCUGUGCAGA